This 637-nucleotide ribosomal RNA is filed under the name Salmonella enterica. RNAcentral's name for it is "partial 23S ribosomal RNA". It matches the Rfam family "Bacterial large subunit ribosomal RNA", at positions 582 to 1221 of the family's 2925-position model. RNAcentral also lists the same sequence under 1 other name. Lineage: Bacteria; Pseudomonadati; Pseudomonadota; Gammaproteobacteria; Enterobacterales; Enterobacteriaceae. The record is from RNAcentral.
CCCUUUGGGUGUGACUGCGUACCUUUUGUAUAAUGGGUCAGCGACUUAUAUUCUGUAGCAAGGUUAACCGAAUAGGGGAGCCGGAGGGAAACCGAGUCUUAACCGGGCGUUAAGUUGCAGGGUAUAGACCCGAAACCCGGUGAUCUAGCCAUGGGCAGGUUGAAGGUUGGGUAACACUAACUGGAGGACCGAACCGACUAAUGUUGAAAAAUUAGCGGAUGACCUGUGGCUGGGGGUGAAAGGCCAAUCAAACCGGGAGAUAGCUGGUUCUCCCCGAAAGCUAUUUAGGUAGCGCCUCGUGAAUUCAUCUCCGGGGGUAGAGCACUGUUUCGGCUAGGGGGCCAUCCCGGCUUACCAACCCGAUGCAAACUGCGAAUACCGGAGAAUGUUAUCACGGGAGACACACGGCGGGUGCUAACGUCCGUCGUGAAGAGGGAAACAACCCAGACCGCCAGCUAAGGUCCCAAAGUCAUGGUUAAGUGGGAAACGAUGUGGGAAGGCCCAGACAGCCAGGAUGUUGGCUUAGAAGCAGCCAUCAUUUAAAGAAAGCGUAAUAGCUCACUGGUCGAGUCGGCCUGCGCGGAAGAUGUAACGGGGCUAAACCAUGCACCGAAGCUGCGGCAGCGACACUGUGUGU